ACGAACGCUGGCGGCGUGCCUAAACACAUGCAAGUCGAACGGAGAUGUUUUGAAAGCUUGCUGAUAAGCAUCUUAGUGGCGCACGGGUGAGUAACACGUGGGCAACCUGCCCGGAAGUCUGGGAUAACAGUGCGAAGGUACUGCUAAUACCGGAUACCUUCACGAAGCUGCCUAGCUUUGUGAAGAAAGAUUAAUUGCUUCCGGAUGGGCCCGCGUCCCAUUAGCUAGUUGGUGAGGUAACGGCUCACCAAGGCGACGAUGGGUAGCUG
RNAcentral lists this ribosomal RNA (269 nucleotides) under uncultured bacterium. Its description in RNAcentral is "partial 16S ribosomal RNA". It matches the Rfam family "Bacterial small subunit ribosomal RNA", at positions 29 to 289 of the family's 1533-position model. The record is from RNAcentral.